ACAAGUUUAACGGCCGCGGUAUUUUGACCGUGCAAAGGUAGCGCAAUCACUUGUCUUUUAAAUAGAGACCCGUAUGAAUGGCCAAACGAGGGCUUAACUGUCUCCCUUUUCAAGUCAGUGAAAUUGAUCUACCCGUGCAGAAGCGGGUAUAACAAUACAAGACGAGAAGACCCUUUGGAGCUUAAGGUACAAAACUCAACCACACCAAGCAACUUAAUAAAAAGUAAAAACUUUGUGAAACAUGAGGUUUUACCUUCGGUUGGGGCGACCGCGGAGGAAAAUAAAGCCUCCAAGUGGACCGGGACAAACUCCUAAAACCAAGAGAAACAUCUCUAAGCCACAGAACAUCUGACCAAACAUGAUCCGGCCACCAGGACCGAUCAACGAACCAAGUUACCCUAGGGAUAACAGCGCAAUCCUCUCCCAGAGUCCAUAUCGACGAGGGGGUUUACGACCUCGAUGUUGGAUCAGGACAUCCUAAUGGUGCAGCCGCUAUUAAGGGUUCGUUUGUUCAACGAUUAAAGUCCUACGUGAUC
RNAcentral lists this ribosomal RNA (536 nucleotides) under Tor douronensis (river carp). RNAcentral describes it as "partial 16S ribosomal RNA". It matches the Rfam family "Bacterial large subunit ribosomal RNA", at positions 1918 to 2605 of the family's 2925-position model. The record is from RNAcentral. RNAcentral also lists the same sequence under 1 other name. Lineage: Eukaryota; Metazoa; Chordata; Actinopteri; Cypriniformes; Cyprinidae.